UGAGGAAUAUUGGUCAAUGGGCGUGAGCCUGAACCAGCCAAGUAGCGUGCAGGAAGACGGCCCUAUGGGUUGUAAACUGCUUUUAUGCGGGGAUAAAGGAGUCCACGUGUGGAUUUUUGCAGGUACCGCAUGAAUAAGGACCGGCUAAUUCCGUGCCAGCAGCCGCGGUAAUACGGAAGGUCCGGGCGUUAUCCGGAUUUAUUGGGUUUAAAGGGAGCGUAGGCAGCGUUUUAAGCGUGUUGUGAAAUGUAGACGCCCAACGUCUGCAUCGCAGCGCGAACUGGGACGCUUGAGUACGCGCAACGUUGGCGGAAUUCGUCGUGUAGCGAUGAAAUGCUUAGAUAUGACGAGGAACUCCGAUUGCGAAGGCAGCUGACGGGAGCGGCACUGACGCUUAAGCUCGAAGGUGCGGGUAUCAAACAGG
RNAcentral lists this ribosomal RNA (424 nucleotides) under Verrucomicrobiota bacterium. RNAcentral describes it as "Verrucomicrobia bacterium partial 16S ribosomal RNA". It matches the Rfam family "Bacterial small subunit ribosomal RNA", at positions 355 to 776 of the family's 1533-position model. The record is from RNAcentral. Lineage: Bacteria; Pseudomonadati; Verrucomicrobiota.